AAAAUUGUUUGGCCGAAUUACAGAAAUCAAAGGGAAAAAAUAAAAGGAAAACGUAAAUGCCUCCUUAAUGUUUGAAACACACCACCGAAGCCCCUUUAAUCUACAUAAAUCCAAAAUGUAAUUUCCUGAAAAUAAUGGGGAUUUACUGUAAUUUUCGAAAAAUCAAAUCACAUCUGGUGGGUCUCCCUCGUCGAACAAACCCUAGCCUGCGACGGUUCGCCGACCUCGCUUCUUCCUCGUUCCUCGCUUCUCUCUCUGUGGGAAACCCGUCGUAUUCCUCAUACUCAAUCUUCGUUUCUGCGUGCGUGUAUAUGCUUCUGGAUUUCCUCGCUUCUCUCUCUCUCUCUGGGAAAACCUUCCUCGUUUCUGCGUGCGUGUAUAUGCUUCUGAAUUCAUAUUGGGAACGGUGGUCUUGAGUGGAACUCAGGUGAUUGAAUUAUUAUUGUUGGUUGUUUUUUGUUGAAACUUCAAAGUUCAAAGUAUAGAAUGCCUCCGAAGUGUUCGAUGAAAUAUCUCAAUGUGGCUGUAUUUUUGUUAUGCUGCUUCUAUUGUUCGCUUUGUUUUUCAGAAAGCUCACAAUCAGCAAUUUCAUAGACUAGUCGAGUUUUAGAAUUUAAGUUCUCGAACUGUUCAAGGAAGUACCUUGAACAUACCACAACAGCAAAACAUAUAGAGAUUAGAGAAUCCUAAAAUAUGAACGAUUGCUAGAAGCUUAGAGCAUGUGACUUGACGCCAAAUAGAUUGAAAAAGCUCCCAUCUUGUCCAAAUACAAUUUAAUUUGGUAAAAUACAAAUGAAAGCAGCCUCAUUACAAAAAAACAACUACAACAGGGAUUUCCAGUUCCUCAGAAGAUAAGUUCGUCGGGUGAGGGAUAAGAGAUAUACAUGAGAGAGAUGAAGAAUGAGCAACAAGAUAGAGACGAGAGAGAAGUGUGGGAAGAGGGAUGUGAGGGACAACCAAGACGAACUCAACUGGGGCAGAUUGGAAGAAGAACUGGGGGUGGAGAGGAGUGUUGUUUUUUGGCUGUAGAAAGUGGAGGCUCAAGUGUGCUUGAGCAAAGCUUGUUAGUAUAACUGUUUGUUAAUAGACUUAUUUGAGUUUUACUUGAUCUGUUUGUGUUGUUGAGCUUCUUGUUAUUCCUUGUAUGCACAGACUGCACUUUGUAUUCACUUUCUUACCUCUUAAAAUGUCCAUAUUUCGAAAGAAAAGAGAGAGAGAGAGAGAAGAAAAAUAAUAGAUUACAAUUUGAGGUCAUUAUCCUAAUUACCAAAAACAAAAGGUUGAGGUCAUGUUGGUAGUUGUCACGAGGUUAUGUUUUUUACCCUGUGAUGGCACUAAAGUCUCGCACUUAGUCUCAGCCAAAACACCAACAAACACACACAAAUUUGAGGUUUAAUAAAGCAGAAACAACACACAUUAUUUAUGAGUCAAUACCAAACAUUUUAUAGCACCAACAAUUACAAGGAAUCUGCCAAGGGUUUCUUGCACAAAACAUACAUCUCUGGCUUCAAAAUCUGCCCAGGGCUUGCCUACUUUAUAGGCAGAACAUUCAGUUACAAAAACCAUUUAGGCAUGAUACAUGUCCUGGCAGUUGACAUCCUCAAACGCUAGGGAAUGCUGUUUCACACAAGCUGCACGAAAUCUACCAACAACUGCUAGGACAAGUGUCCCCAGAAGGCCUCUGGUAAACCAGUGUCCUCAAACACAAUUUCCAGCAAGUUCUUCCUUACAGAAUGGAACUAUGUGCAAGUCUUAACUACUUGUCUGCAUAACUGCUGCCUAGCCAAUGCUAGUGCUAGCCUUGGGUCCACGCCAAGCCACCCACGAACACGAACUGAUUGAUUCCCAUUAUUGUUCACAGCCUACACUGUCGUGCAUUCAUGAACAAUACUGCCUUGCGCCUUGCAUCUGUUUCACAGCGUCACUGUCUUGAACAUUCGCCACCUUGUAGCAUGCCUCCCUCAUACUUUUGCCAUCAGGAUGUAGUGCGGGUGUAAGGUGACAUCACACACCAACCCUUGGUCCGCGUCGACCAGACUAGGGUUUUUCUAACAAGUACAGUAGAGGAUGAGGAUAACAGGAGAAGGUAUAGGAUGUGCGUUUCUGAUUUCAACCUUAAAGACUAACGAAACUAAGACAUUUGCCAUUGGCUUUAAUGCAUUUUCUGGACAAUAUUUGCAUGGGUAUCGAUAAUAAUACCCAAUCUGUUCCAAACAGUCUGUCAGUAGAAGUAAAAAACUAUUAAGCGAGUUUAUCAAUUUUGUUCUCUCUCAUUACAGACAAUUUAUCC
RNAcentral lists this long non-coding RNA (2290 nucleotides) under Actinidia chinensis (golden kiwifruit). RNAcentral's name for it is "long non-coding RNA (ACHI_LNC003128)". Lineage: Eukaryota; Viridiplantae; Streptophyta; Magnoliopsida; Ericales; Actinidiaceae. The record is from RNAcentral.